RNAcentral lists this ribosomal RNA (377 nucleotides) under uncultured bacterium. Its description in RNAcentral is "bacterial SSU rRNA". It matches the Rfam family "Bacterial small subunit ribosomal RNA", at positions 521 to 896 of the family's 1533-position model. The record is from RNAcentral.
UAAUACGGAGGGUGCGAGCGUUGUUCGGAAUCACUGGGCGUAAAGGGCGCGUAGGCGGUCCGUUAAGUCUGAUGUGAAAGCCCGGGGCUUACCCCCGGAAGUGCAUUGGAAACUGGCGGACUCGAGUCCCGGAGAGGAAGGUGGAAUUCCUGGUGUAGCGGUGAAAUGCGUAGAUAUCAGGAGGAACACCGGCGGCGAAGGCGGCCUUCUGGACGGUGACUGACGCUGAUGCGCGAAAGCGUGGGGAGCAAACAGGAUUAGAUACCCUGGUAGUCCACGCUGUAAACGAUGAGCACUAGGUGUCGCGGGUAUUGACCCCUGCGGUGCCGCAGCUAACGCAUUAAGUGCUCCGCCUGGGGACUACGGCCGCAAGGUUA